Molecule: long non-coding RNA, 1172 nt
Organism: Micropterus dolomieu (smallmouth bass)
Lineage: Eukaryota; Metazoa; Chordata; Actinopteri; Centrarchiformes; Centrarchidae
Exons: 4
Source: RefSeq, a predicted model, not a curated record
GUUAAAGUGACUCAUACUCUUAAUUUAACCAGUGUUGUUGAAAAAGCUUAGGAGUUGACUGUUCACUUUCUCUGUUUGCUGACCUCUGACCUGUGCAUAAGGCUGCAGUUGCACUGUGAAUAUUUGACACUAGAGGGCAGCAAGACACUGUCUGCUGGCAGAAUAGUGAAGAUGACAUUCUCACAAACAGGAGGAGAAUACAGAACAGGUGUGUCAUCCCCUCGGUGCUGACCCCGUCAAUGGCUGAGAUGAUGUCGCCCUGGGCCAAGCUGCCGCCCACUGCCUUGCUGCCCGGAGUUAUCUAUGCAGGGGUCAACAGAGCAGGUAUCUGAGUGCAGUUGUACUCACUCCAGCCAAAGAAGGGGGGUAGGCUCCAGCCCAUGGAGUAGAACCAGGCAGCACCCACGAUGCUCAGGGCUUUCCUGCGAGACAUCUCCCCCAAGGAGGCCAGAGGCCUGGUGAUCACCAUGUACCGGUCCACCGCAAUCACCAUUAGUGUAAUCAUACUACAGAUACCAAACAGUGCUCCGCAGAAUGCAUAUACCUCACAACCUGCACCAGGAGAGGUAAAGGAGGGACAAAGAAGCAGUAGAGGGGAAGAAAAAAUAUGUUUGAUAUCCGGAUAAAUGCAUUUCUGGCAGUAGAUCCUGCAGCUGGGAAAGUCUACAGUUGAAAGUAUUGUGUGAUAGAUGAAAAGAGCUGAAAGGCUGAAAACAGCCAGAACUAAUGAUAAUACAGUUACAUUAACCUAAGUUUGGAAACAAAUGUUUGUACCCAUAGUCUUUUUUUCCUUUUACAUUUUAGCCAUGCUAGCCACAUAGCUUGAGGAAUGGUUGAUGACUUGAUUCUGUCAUGGUUUUGUGGUUAUUUCCUGUUUUAUUUUGUUAAACCCUUCCUCUUGUGUCUGUGCUUACUUAACUUCUCGUCUCUCUGUUUUUCGCUUACAGUCUAUGGUUUUUCCUUGUUUAUUGAUUUGUUCUGUAAACUUCCACCUUUAUUUUGUUACUUAUGUCUCCUCUCGUUUCUGUUCACUUCACUUCCUGCUCUUGUGUUUUCCUGCUUGUUGCACCUGUGCCUUGUUAAUCACCUCCCUCUUGUAUAUUUAAGUGUGUGUCUUCCCAUUGUCUGUUGUAGGAUAUAUAAGUUUUCUUAAUAAACAGUAGGAGCUUUCA